GAUGAACGCUAGCGGGAGGCUUAACACAUGCAAGCCGAGGGAAAAACUUUUUUCGGAAAGUGGACACCGGCGAACGGGUGCGUAACGCGUAUGCAACUUGCCCCUAUCAAAGGAAUAGCCCAGGGAAACUUGGAUUAAUACCUUAUAAUAUAAGACAUGGCAUCAUGUUUUAUUAAAAGAUUUAUCGGAUAGGGAUAGGCAUGCGUCUGAUUAGUUAGUUGGUGAGGUAAAAGCUCACCAAGGCAACGAUCAGUAGGGGGCCUGAGAGGGUGAUCCCCCACACUGGUACUGAGACACGGACCAGACUCCUACGGGAGGCAGCAGUGAGGAAUAUUGGACAAUGGGUGAAAGCCUGAUCCAGCCAUCCCGCGUGCAGGAAGACAGCCCUAUGGGUUGUAAACUGCUUUUAUAUAGGAAGAAACCUUUUUACGUGUAAAAAGCUGACAUUACUAUACGAAUAAGCAUCGGCUAACUCCGUGCCAGCCGCCGCCGUAACAC
This 498-nucleotide ribosomal RNA is filed under the name uncultured bacterium. RNAcentral describes it as "bacterial SSU rRNA". It matches the Rfam family "Bacterial small subunit ribosomal RNA", at positions 28 to 526 of the family's 1533-position model. The record is from RNAcentral.